This 442-nucleotide ribosomal RNA is filed under the name uncultured bacterium. RNAcentral's name for it is "partial 16S ribosomal RNA". It matches the Rfam family "Bacterial small subunit ribosomal RNA", at positions 338 to 795 of the family's 1533-position model. The record is from RNAcentral.
ACUACGGGAGGCUGCAGUGGGGGAUAUUGCACAAUGGGGGAAACCCUGAUGCAGCGACGCCGCGUGGGCGAAGAAGUAUUUCGGUAUGUAAAGCCCUAUCAGCAGGGAAGAAGAAAUGACGGUACCUGAGUAAGAAGCACCGGCUAAAUACGUGCCAGCAGCCGCGGUAAUAAGUAUGGUGCAAGCGUUAUCCGGAUUUACUGGGUGUAAAGGGAGCGCAGGCGGCAGUGCAAGUCUGGAGUGAAAGGCGGGGGCUCAACCCCCGGACUGCUCUGGAAACUGUACGGCUGGAGUGCAGGAGAGGUAAGUGGAAUUCCUAGUGUAGCGGUGAAAUGCGUAGAUAUUAGGAGGAACACCAGUGGCGAAGGCGGCUUACUGGACUGUAACUGACGUUGAGGCUCGAAAGCGUGGGGAGCAAACAGGAUUAGAUACCCCUGUAGUC